This 392-nucleotide small RNA is filed under the name Pongo abelii (Sumatran orangutan). Its description in RNAcentral is "retained intron". Lineage: Eukaryota; Metazoa; Chordata; Mammalia; Primates; Hominidae. The record is from RNAcentral.
GGAGGGGGAAGCUGCCAUGCUAGGCCGCUCCCAGGGUGACCUGCGGCGACAGGAGGAACAGCGCAGCCGCCUGAGCCGAGCCCGCCAGAAUCUCAGCCAGGUCCCCGAAGCCGACUCAGUCAGCUUCCUGCAGGAGCUGCUGGCACUAAGGCUGGCCCUGGAGGAUGGGUGUGGCCCUGUGCCUGGACCCCCGAGGGAGCUCAGCUUCACCAAAUCAUCCCAAGCUGUCCGUGCAGUGAGAGACAUGCUGGCCGUGGCCUGCGUCAACCAGUGGGAGCAGCUGAGGGGGCCGGGUGGCAACGAGGACGGGCCACAGAAGCUGGACUCAGAAGGUGGGCACCGCCCCACGCCCCCCCGAUGACUCACCCUCUCCCAGCCUCUCGCACAGGCCC